Acanthosepion pharaonis is the source of this 102-nucleotide non-coding RNA. NCBI's taxonomy places the organism in Eukaryota, Metazoa, Mollusca, Cephalopoda, Sepiida, Sepiidae. The record is from the annotation of a GenBank genome assembly.
UUACGGUCAUAUCGCAUUGAAACAUCUGUUCCCGUACGAACACCGAAGUUAAGCAACGUCGAGUCUGGUCCGUGCCGAGAUGUGUGACUGCUAAGGAAUACA